GGAACGGGGAACGCGUGAGAAUCUGCCGAAGGGACGGGGAUAACCACGGGAAACGGUGGCUAAUACCGGAUGAGCCGAAAAGGUAAAAGAUUUAUCGCCCUUCGAGGAGCUCGCGUCCGAUUAGCUAGUUGGUGAGGUAAAAGCUCACCAAGGCAGCGAUCGGUAGCUGGUCUGAGAGGAUGAGGCAGCCACACUGGGACUGAGACACGGCCCAGACUCCUACGGGAGGCAGCAGUGGGGAAUUUUCCGCAAUGGGCGCAAGCCUGACGGAGCAAUACCGCGUGAGGGAGGAAGGCUCUUGGGUUGUAAACCUCUUUUCUCAGGGAAGAAGUUCUGACGGUACCUGAGGAAUAAGCAUCGGCUAACUCCGUGCCAGCAGCCGCGGUAAUACGGAGGAUGCAAGCGUUAUCCGGAAUUAUCUGGGCGUAAAGCGUCCGCAGGUGGCAUUUCCAGUCUUGCUGUCAAAGACCAAGGCUCAACCUUGGGCAGGCAGUGGAAACUGAAAAGCUAGAGUGCGGUAGGGGUAGGGGGAAUUCCCAGUGUAGCGGUGAAAUGCGUAGAGAAU
Molecule: ribosomal RNA, 565 nt
Filed under: Oscillatoria sp. Ind78
Lineage: Bacteria; Bacillati; Cyanobacteriota; Cyanophyceae; Oscillatoriales; Oscillatoriaceae
Description: bacterial SSU rRNA
Rfam family: Bacterial small subunit ribosomal RNA
Source: RNAcentral